This 465-nucleotide ribosomal RNA is filed under the name uncultured bacterium. Its description in RNAcentral is "partial 16S ribosomal RNA". It matches the Rfam family "Bacterial small subunit ribosomal RNA", at positions 28 to 507 of the family's 1533-position model. The record is from RNAcentral.
GACGAACGCUGGCGGCGUGCUUAACACAUGCAAGUCGAACGGAAAGGCCCUGCUUGCGGGGUGCUCGCGUGGCGAAAGGGGGAGUAACACGUGGGUGAUAUGCCCUGCACUUCGGGGUAAGCCUUGGGGACUGGGGCGAAUACCCGGGAUGGGCCCUCUUUCGUGUGAGGGUGGGAAGGUUUUUUCGGUGUGGGGUGAGCGUGCGGCCUAUCAGGUUGUUGGUGGGGUGAUGGGCUACCAAGGGGGUGACGGGUAGGCGGCCUGGGAGGGUGGACGGCCCACAUGGGGCCUGGAUUAGGGCCAGACUCCUACGGGGGGGAGGAGGGGGGAAAUUUGGCCAAUGGGGGGGAGCCUGAUGCAGCGACGCCGCGGUGGGGAUGACGGGCUUUGGGUUGUAAACCCCCUUCGCUAGGGACGAAGCUUUUUGUGACGGUACCUAGAUAAGAAGCACCGGCUAACUACGUG